UGCGUAGGCGGAAUAUUAAGUCAGUGGUGAAAUCCUGCGGCUCAACCGUAGAACUGCCAUUGAUACUGAUAUUCUUGAAUGUAGUUGAGGUAGGCGGAAUGUGUAAUGUAGCGGUGAAAUGCUUAGAUAUUACACAGAACACCGAUUGCGAAGGCAGCUUACUAAACUAUGAUUGACGCUGAGGCACGAAAGCGUAGGGAGCGAACAGGAUUAGAUACCCUGGUAGUC
RNAcentral lists this ribosomal RNA (228 nucleotides) under uncultured bacterium. Its description in RNAcentral is "partial 16S ribosomal RNA". It matches the Rfam family "Bacterial small subunit ribosomal RNA", at positions 568 to 795 of the family's 1533-position model. The record is from RNAcentral.